UACGGAGGGUGCAAGCGUUACUCGGAAUUACUGGGCGUAAAGGACGCGUAGGCGGCCUGAUAAGUUAGAUGUGAAAUCCUAUGGCUUAACCAUAGAACUGCAUCUAAAACUAUUAGGCUAGAGUGGGGGAGAGGUCAGUGGAAUUAGUGGUGUAGGGGUAAAAUCCGUAGAGAUCACUAGGAAUACUCAUUGCGAAGGCGACUGACUGGAACUUAACUGACGCUGAGGCGUGAAAGCGUGGGGAGCAAACAGGAUUAGAUACCCUGGUAGUCCACGCCCUAAACGAUGUACACUAGUUGUUGCCAUGCUAGUCAUGGCAGUAAUGCAGCUAACGCAUUAAGUGUACCGCCUGGGGAGUACGGUCGCAAGAUUAAAACUCAAAGGAAUAGACGGGGACCCGCACAAGCGGUGGAGCAUGUGGUUUAAUUCGACGAUACGCGAAGAACCUUAUCUGGACUUGACAUCCUAUAAAUGAUUUAGAGAUAGAUUAGUGCUAGUUUACUAGAAUAUAGUGACAGGUGCUGCACGGCUGUCGUCAGCUCGUGUCGUGAGAUGUUGGGUUAAGUCCCGCAACGAGCGCAACCCUCGUCGUUAGUUGCUAACAGUUCGGCUGAGCACUCUAACGAGACUGCCUUCGUAAGGAGGAGGAAGGUGAGGACGACGUCAAGUCAUCAUGGCCCUUAUGUCCAGGGCUACACACGUGCUACAAUGGCCAGGACAAUGAGACGCAAUACCGCGAGGUGGAGCAAAUCUAUAAACCUGGUCUCAGUUCGGAUAGCACUCUGCAACUCGAGUGCUUGAAGCUGGAAUCGCUAGUAAUCGUAGAUCAGCAAUGCUACGGUGAAUACGUUCCCGGGUCU
This 860-nucleotide ribosomal RNA is filed under the name uncultured bacterium. RNAcentral describes it as "bacterial SSU rRNA". It matches the Rfam family "Bacterial small subunit ribosomal RNA", at positions 524 to 1381 of the family's 1533-position model. The record is from RNAcentral.